Long non-coding RNA from Bombus pyrosoma, 381 nucleotides. RefSeq lists it as uncharacterized. The record is from RefSeq and is a predicted model, not a curated record. NCBI's taxonomy places the organism in Eukaryota, Metazoa, Arthropoda, Insecta, Hymenoptera, Apidae. The transcript has 2 exons.
GUCAACAUGCAUUUAUGUCUUCGAUAUCUGUCAACAGCUUUAACGUUGGUCAACAUUUAGGCUUGUUAACAUCUUUCAAUAUCAUCAGCUUUUAAACAUUUGUCAAUACGUAUUACUAAUUUCAUCGUUCAGCUUCGACUGAAAUAGCCAGCGUAUAAGCUCGUUUAUUCGGACAGCAAAUAGGAAGUUCGAGAUUCGCCCGGAAGCACGCUACAUGCACCUCGACACAGCUACAGAAACACCUCAAUGAUUUGCAGCAUCGUCUAUAGAUAAGAAUCAAUGAUUUUUCGACAUUGGUUCUAGAUAUAAGAUGUAUCAAAAAGCAAUUUCUUAUCUCAAAACUGAAAAAAACAAUCGAUUACAUAUUUUUUAUAUUACGAA